AGUGGACGCUGGCGGUAGGCCUAACACAUGCAAGUCGAACGGCAGCACAGUAAGAGCUUGCUCUUACGGGUGGCGAGUGGCGGACGGGUGAGGAAUACAUCGGAAUCUACUUUUUCGUGGGGGAUAACGUAGGGAAACUUACGCUAAUACCGCAUACGACCUACGGGUGAAAGCAGGGGAUCUUCGGACCUUGCGCGAUUGAAUGAGCCGAUGUCGGAUUAGCUAGUUGGCGGGGUAAAGGCCCACCAAGGCGACGAUCCGUAGCUGGUCUGAGAGGAUGAUCAGCCACACUGGAACUGAGACACGGUCCAGACUCCUACGGGAGGCAGCAGUGGGGAAUAUUGGACAAUGGGCGCAAGCCUGAUCCAGCCAUACCGCGUGGGUGAAGAAGGCCUUCGGGUUGUAAAGCCCUUUUGUUGGGAAAGAACAGCAGCAGGUUAAUCCCCCGCUGUUCUGACGGUACCCAAAGAAUAAGCACCGGCUAACUUCGUG
RNAcentral lists this ribosomal RNA (492 nucleotides) under uncultured bacterium. RNAcentral describes it as "partial 16S ribosomal RNA". It matches the Rfam family "Bacterial small subunit ribosomal RNA", at positions 29 to 507 of the family's 1533-position model. The record is from RNAcentral.